This is a long non-coding RNA of Anastrepha obliqua, 772 nucleotides long. RefSeq lists it as uncharacterized. Lineage: Eukaryota; Metazoa; Arthropoda; Insecta; Diptera; Tephritidae. The transcript has 2 exons. The record is from RefSeq and is a predicted model, not a curated record.
UUUUUUUUAAUUUUUGCCGCUAGUAUUAAAAAAGUGAAAUGAGUGCGUGUGUGCAAAAUUCAAACAAUACACCUGUUUCAGUAGUCUCUAAUGAGAAUUCGGCGUCAUGAAAUCAACCUAUUAAGCCAAUGAACGUGAAAUACAGAUGCAAGUUAGCAGGCAUCGACUAGGCGUUGCGAAUUAAAUACUUGUCCACUCGUGUAACAAUAUCCCAUUUAGGGUGCACUCUCACAAACUGACACCCACAAUGUGAGCUUCUACUUAAUAUAUGUAUGUACAUAUAUCUAGUGUACUAUUAAUCGUACGUGACAAGAUUGUAAUUGAGCUGGAGAAAAAUUGCUAAUUUUGCAAAACCAGAGAUGCAAGUAAUUGCCUGUGACAAUAACAAUACGUGCAUAUACAUAUGUACAUACACAAGUGUGUGAAUGCAUUGACAUGCUUAAGGCUGCAAGGGAAGUAAAUUUGCAAACCAGUUCAUGCAUUAUGUAUGAGAAGAAUUUAAAACCAAAGGGAAUAAAUUAAUAAAUUCAUAAAAAGUUGUUAUCAAUCUUAGGUUUUUACGGCAUACUAUAGUACCUGUAGGUCUCUUCCCGAGGUAUUUUUAUACUUUAUAAGUACGUAUGCAUAUUUUACAUGAGCUCGAAAGUUUACAUUUGGAAUCUUACCAUUACUAAAAUUCUUUUUGCUUAAAGAAAUAUGCACAUGUACAUAGAUAUCGCACCCUAAAUACGAAAGGGUCACAACUCAAAAAUUUCCAAAACUGAGUUUUUUG